CCUACGGGUGGCAGCAGUGGGGAAUAUUGCACAAUGGGGGGAACCCUGAUGCAGCGACGCCGCGUGGGUGAAGGAGUAGUUCGGGAUGUAACGCCCUAGCAGCAGGGAAGAACAAUGACGGUACCUGACUAAGAAGCACCGGCUAAAUACGUGCCAGCAGCCACGGUAAUACGUAUGGAGCAAUCUUUAUCCGGAUUUACUGGGUGUAAAGGGAGCGCAGGCGGGGCGGUAAGCCUGGUGUGAAGGCCCGCGGCCCAACCGCGGGACUGCAUUGGGAACUGGCGCGAUGGAGUGCCGGAGGGGUAGGCGGAAUUCCUAGUGUAUCGGUGAAAUGCGUAGAUAUUAGGAGGAACACCAGUGGCGAAGGCGGCCUACUGGACGGUGACUGACGCUGAGGCUCGAAAGCGUGGGGAGCAAACAGGAUUAGAUACCCUUGUAGUC
This 441-nucleotide ribosomal RNA is filed under the name uncultured bacterium. Its description in RNAcentral is "partial 16S ribosomal RNA". It matches the Rfam family "Bacterial small subunit ribosomal RNA", at positions 338 to 795 of the family's 1533-position model. The record is from RNAcentral.